GACACACCUUCCAUCGGUGUUACUGACUCGCCCUUUCGGUCGGACGGGUACGGCGCACCGUCGACAUCGACACAGGUAGCCAUCAGGUCAAUCAGGUGUCCUGGCUCAUGCGUGAUCGCGCCGGCUUUCGCUUUACCCGGCCAG
This 144-nucleotide unclassified non-coding RNA is filed under the name plant metagenome. Its description in RNAcentral is "partial contains 5.8S ribosomal RNA, internal transcribed spacer 2, and large subunit ribosomal RNA". The record is from RNAcentral.